GUGCAAAGCCCAGGCACAGGGUUCAGACUCCAUCUUCUGUGUUCUUCUUAAUUGACAAACUGCAAUGGCUGUCUUCAGAGUCUUGGUUUUCUAUGGUGGUCAACUCCUGAGUUCUUAUGAUGUCGCUGGGCACAGAAAAAAUAAACGGAGAAGAUCCCAGUGAUACGGAGACUUGGAUGAUUCAGAUGGAAAAAGCAUGAGUUGCCAGCAUUAAGCUGCACGUGAUUUCUGGGCAGUUCACCAGGCGCUACCCGUUUUUGAAUCCUUUUGAGGUUCUGUGACCCAGAUGGCCUUGCUUCUUGUCUCCUGUGCUGCAGUUUCACCCCUCUGGAGACUACAACUCAGGAGCAGCUGGAUGAGAUGGAAGAGAUCCCCAGAGAGAGCCAGUGUGGGAGGCAGGACUUCCAUGCCCUCUCCUGUCCCACCGCCUCCCCAAGAGACAGAGUCUUGCUCUGUUGUCCAGGCUGGAGAGCAAUGGUGCCAUCAUAGCUCACUGCAGCCUUGACCGCCUGGGCUCAAGCGAUCCUCCCACCUCAGCCUCCUGAGUAGCUGGGACUACAGGUGUGCACAACCACACUCGGCCAAUUAUUUAUUUAUUGUCCGUCUCUCCAGUGAAAUGGUCCUGAAAAUUAGGAUGCUCAUGACCUUGGCCUUGCAGUUUGGGUGGGUGCACCUCCUGUCCUGGUGCUGACAUCUGGAUGAUUUAUGAACAUCAUUACCCUUUCACUGGACUCUUACUCUUCGGAGUCUUCAGAGCUGCCUGGGCCUAGCGCCCAAGAAGUUUGCUCCUUGCAUCAAUGGCGAUGCUAGACAUAUUCUACUGGCUGUGGCCCAAAGGCUGGAGGUGGAACUGUAAGAGCAGAGAGGAGGAGAAGGCUCACCAUGAAGACAAAAGAAGUCCUGAGCCUUGGAUUUUCUUCCUCUAGGGCUUUGUGGACCCACAGAUUGGUAGAAGUUCUGUGAGGGCUGACUUCUCCCCAUCUGUCCCAGAUGGAUCCCUUAAGGCUCAGGACACCUCAGAGGACUGGUGCAUGGGCUGCAGCCAGCCUGACCCAGCUCUAUAAAGAAGCUCACCCUUUACAGAUGCCCCAGAGAGGCCCCCAUCCUGCCCUGCAGCCAGCUUCCUGGGCAAGUGGGAUCAGGCACUCGGGGUCUCCCUCCUCCAGGGUUUCCUGAAACAGGAUGCAUUCAGCCCUUGUAGAGUUGCUGGGGAAGUGGAAGGAAAACAGAGGUGACUCUUGAAGCCCCAGGAGCUGACCUUAGAUCUUGACACUCCUGGUGUGUGCAAAGGUCUGAGGAGACGGCCAGAUUGAGGUAAAGCAGUAAAAAUCCGUGCUUGUCAGGAAAGUAGCAAGAGCCGAGUUCUACACUAACCAUUGGCUGGCCUGGGGCAGCCUGCAGCUGCACAACUGCCUCGUACAAUGGCAUGGACAAGCAGUGUCGGUGACGUAGCAGGCCGCUGGGGACCUGGGAGACAUCCUGCUGCUGCAGGAGUCCUGUGCAGAGCAGAGGAGAGAGCAGUUUGGCAAGUGCAGGGGUCCCACUCUUCUUUUGGUUGGUGGCAGGGAGCAGGUGGGGCCUAACCUGGGUGGACAGUGUCUACCUCCCUUCUGUGCAUUUUGCAUUGGCCUUAAUUGGUUCUCCCGGGAUAGUCACGAAAGCCCGACCUUUGUUCCAGGUAAAGUGCUGCAUGUUUCAUGUGUACAGCUCAUUUAAUCUUCACAGGACCUUAUGAAGUAGUUAUUAUAUCUAUUAUCAUCACAGAAAAGAACACUGAGCCUCAGAGAGGUCAAGCAAUUGGCCCAAGAUCACACAGCCUGCAAGAAACAGAGAUGGGACUCAGACCCUGGUCUAUUUGGCUCCCAUGUGCCUUACUACUAUGUUAUACCCACCCCUCCAGUCUCCUUCUAGGUCACCAGCUGGGAUGGGAGGCCAACUCUCCAAAUCAGAAGAGUUUUUCUGGGUCAGGAAUUUGAGCAGGACUUGCCUACGUGAUUUUGGCUUGAGGACUCUCACAUGGUGGUAAUAGAUGGAAGUUGAAACUGGAGCAGAGGAGCAGAAGUGGCUGGAGUGGCAGGAACUGGCCAGGCAUCUCUUCCUCUCUGGAUAUAUAGACACUGGGCCUCUUCAUCGGGUCUUUCUGCAGGGCUGGUUGUGCUUCCUCACUGCAUGGUGGCUCAGGGCAGUCAGACCACCUGCGUGGUGGCUCAGCACUCCAGCACAGUGUCCCAUCACUCAAGGUAGAAGCUGCAUUGUCCUCUAGGGCUUAGCCUCUGAAGCCAUGCAGCGUCACUUCCUGAGCUUCCUUGUAACCACUUCCUGUUGGUUAUAAGUGAGGCACAAGCCCAUCCAAAUUCAAAGGAAGAAGAGUUAGACUCCAUCACUUAAUAGGAACGUGGCAAGAUUCUAGAAGAGCAAAUGGGAUAAGAAUUAUUGUUGCAUUCAUCUUAGAAAAAUACAAUCCGCUACAAAGCCCCCUCAUGGAGCACCCAGAUCUGAGAAGGGGGUGCUUUCCACUAAAGUCUCUGCCUCCAUUUUCCACUUCCUCUGCUUCCUUCUCCUUCUUGUGUUCUCCAUGAGCAUUAAACCAAAAUAAACAGUUCUGAGUACCCCUUUUAAUCAAGAUGUGUGAAAAAAUGUGGAAGCUCAUCCUUGGAAGAAUAAUAAUAGAAACUAGCUUUAUUUAUCCUGGGUAAGAGACGUAAGAGGAGAUGAUGGGAUCACUAUCCCAGCACAUGUGAAAGACGGGAACAGGCUUGUCCUGGGCUGCUCCAGAGGGUGGGUGGUACAGGAUUUUUCACAGUCCUGGAGAAACUCAGAGGCUUCCUUGGCUGACCACUUUUUUUUUUCUCUUUUUCAGCUUUAUUGAAAAACAAAUGACAAAUAAAAGUUGUAUAUAUUCAAGGUAUACAAUGUGAUGCUUUGAUACAUUGUGAAAUGAUGACCUCAGUCAAGCUAAUUAAGAUAUCCAUCACUUCCUGGAGGUACCUUUGUGUCUAUAUGUGGUGAGAAUACUUACAACCUACUCUCUGAAAAUUUGAAACAUACAACCCAUUGUUAUUAACUACAGUCACCUGAUGGAUAAGAGAGCUCUUGGCUAGUAUAAAUAGAGCAAGUAUUUUCCAUAAAAAUAUGGAAAAUAAGCAAGUGUUUUCCAUAAAUAGAGCAAGUAUUUUCCAUAAAAUAUCACUAAAAAUAUGCAGGAAAGGCCUGAAUUAGUUCAUAUGGCAGAUAUUGGUAUAAUCUUUUGGUUUUCAGGAUUUUUUGAAGUCUAAAGUGGGCAUGCUUACAAUAAAUUAAUUUAAAAGUGGUAUCAGUUUUAUAUGUUCUGCAUACAAUUUUCUUUUUAAGAGUACCCUGUGGGUUAAAAUAUAUUUACAGAGCAACCUCUCCUAACAAAAGAAAAUUUCAGACCAUUAGGCUUGGUCAGAUAAAUGAAUGUUAGAGGGGCAAAAUCAGGUGUAGCAAAGAUUAGUCCAUUGCAGAAAGAAACUAGGACUGUGCCUCUCCAAAUAGGAGAGUACCAAAGAGGGUACACCCCUGUACCCCAGGGGUGUCUAGUAGUGUGCCUUUGGGUCCUAGAAGAUGUAGAAUAAGUAUGGUACAUCAUCACAACAAGUAAUUUAGGACUGUUUUGCAAUAAAACAAUCAAUAUUUAUUAUGCAGUUGAUGCAAUACUCACAUAUAUUUUAAAUUAGAUGCUCUAUGAGAAUUUUCCAGUUGCUAAUAGCUAGGCAGGUGACCCUCCUACAUUCCCCUAGGAUACUGUGUAGACAAGUUUGUAUUGACAAAAAUAAGAAUGUAGACUGAAGAGCAAAACUGUUGGGUUCAAAUCCUGGCUCUGUGACUUACUAGUUAUAUAACCCUGGGCAACUUAACCUGUUCAUGCCUUAGUUUCCUCAUCUCUGAAAUGGAGAUAUUAAUAAUAAUAAUAUUCACCUCAUGGGGUGAUUGAAAGAACAAAAUGAGUUAAUUUUAGUGUUUAAAGGAGUGCCUUGCGUGUGGCAAGUACCAUGCAGAUGCUCAUUAAAUAAAAGCUUGAGAACUAUGAAUGAGCCUCUCCGAGAAGGUCAAGAAUGGGCACAUAGUCUGGGUGAUCAUGAGCAGAGGCUGGAAGUGAUGCAUUCUGUUGAAGGAAUUGUUCAUGGGGUGGCCACUCCUUCAAAAGGAAUUAUAAAAAUCUAAGACUUGAAGCUGAGAUCCCCCACCUGCUGGGUGGUGUUUGAUGGUCUAAACUGGGGGUUUGCAAACUCUUUCAGCAAAGGGCCAAGUAGUAUAUCCUUUAGAAUUGUGGGUCAUCCAGUCUUUGUCACAUUUGUUCAACUCUGCCAUUGUAGUGUGAAAGUAGCCAUGGAUGAUAUAUACCUGAAUUAAAUGGACUGUUGUGCUGGGCUGGGGCCACAGUCCAUAGUUUGCUGCUGCUUGUCUAGAUCCUGCGGGGCCUGAGCAAGUGAGCUGGAAAUAAGGUGGCUGUUGAGGGGGCUGAGGAGCAACAGGAAGUGAGAAGGGAAGGGAGAUGGGUGCAGCACCACUACAAUGCCACUUCCUUCCUGGGGUGAACUCACUUAGACUUUGAAUAGGUUCUCUGCAGAGAUGACUGAGACACUUGGAGCCAUGCGCCUGCAGAGACACAGUGGGGGACCAUGUUAGAAAUGGGAGUAACAAGUCAUUCAUUCUUACUAUAUGUUUCGUUAUUGCAUGGCAAAGGCUUUGAAAAGAAAGCUGAGUCUUUUAUUUUCCUGUGAAUCAGCUCCGAGCCCCUGGAACAAUGUUGUUCAUUCUGCGGAUGCUCAGCAAGCCCUUGCUGACUGUCUUUAUUUCUUCACCUGCAAUAAGAUCCCCCCAGGCCCAUAUGGAAACGUAAAUGUUCUUGAGGGACUAAUUCAGUGAGACUCUUCCAGGGGAAGUUCAGUCCUCCUGGGAAGUGAUUACACACUGAUGGAAUUUUUGCACACUGGAUGGAAAGAUGAUCUUUGCCUCUUGGCUGUGUCACAGUAAUAAGUGGGAGACUGAUUAUUUCUAAGAGUGCAGCUCUUCCCGGCACUGAUAAGAAUGGAAUGCAGCGCUACCAUGGAGAUUCGGGUCACUAAUUAGUCCCAGAAGCCUCUAGGCCUUGAAUCACUGUUAUAUUAAUUAUGCAUCAAAUUAGAAUGUUUGCAAAGGCUCAGAGCCAACUGUACUGCAGAACCCGGUGACAGCAUGGAGAGAUCAAGGAGUGUCCCGCCCAGCACACUGCAGGGACCAGCAGACAAAUCCACGCGGCCUGCCUGAGCGUGCAGUGACCCCGCCUGAUCUCUGAUACAGCUGUUCGCAACUCCUGCCAGAGAGCUUGUUAUCGGCACAGGGUGGACAAAAGAAGGAAAGGAAGAGAACGAUGGCUUCCCCUCAGUUCCAUAAUCUAAGCUCUACUGCGGUAAUAUCCAGCUGAGAAAAGACACAGGACAAUCAUUUGGGCACUUUAUUUCCAUGGUAACAAAUAGAAGAUUCUUCCAGAUGUUUGCUAACAUCGUGGAGGUAACAUGUCUGGACCGUUGUCUGAUAUUCAGUUUUUAUAGCUGGGGAGACAUGGCUUUAGCUUUGGGUAAACUAUUCUAUCUCUUCCUCCUCUUCCUCUGCCUCCUUCUCCUUCUUGUGUUCUCCAUGAGCAUAAAACCAAAAUAUACUUGAUGCUUUGUUGUAAAAUAAACAGAUGAUAAAUAGCAGUCUCUGUGACUGUUGGGUUAUAAUUCCAUCGAGGGCUGGGGUUGAAGUCAUAAACCACAAGAAGUGAAGCAUGACCCACAAAUAGCCUUCAGGAUGGAAUUACAGCCCCAUAAUUCAGAGUAGCCCUUUGAAAAAAUAAUUCCUAAACCUAGCUAUAAUUUGGGGAAAGAGCCACGACAGUGGUGACGUCUUCUCUAAUCAGUUCAUCAGUAGACAAAUUACUCCCCUUCGUUAUUCUGAUGAUAUUUAUUAACGUUGGGGUGAGCACCCAAUCUGUUUUCUAGGAGGUUACUGUUGAAACCAGGUAGCAGUCGCCCAAACAGAACCAAAGAAAGGGAAACUGGAGUCUCACAGUAAGAAAGUUCUCACCACAGAUGAAGGUCAAUGAGCAUGAGGUGAGAAGAGACAUUCAUUACUUUGGAACUGAUGAGAAAUAUUGAUUCCUGACCACAGGAGUAGUGGCCGAGUUUGUUUUGCGUGGAGUGUGGCAUAAAUUCCGUCCCUGUUCUGCAUCUUACUACUUCUCUAAAUGUCUUUGCUAUUUUCAAAACUGAUUCUGCUUGAUCUCAUAAUUCAUUAAAGCAAGUUGAUCUCAUGCACCCCAAGAGUUAUGAGAAGCUUUUUCAUGAUGGUUCUUGCAUGAUGAAAAUAAAUUCUCAUUUAUUACAGAGAAAAUAAACCGAACCCAACAAUUCUGUAGAAGGUGAAUGUUUAAAUGGCAGUUUCUUGUGAUCAUAAAUUAAACCAUCAAAAUCCCAUAAGGUUUCUCUGCAGCCUAGAUAUUAAAUAAAACAACAAACAUGCAAGGACUGGCAAGUGGUAAGGGCUUAAUACAUGGUCAUUCACUACCAUAAUUUGUACCAUAAAAUUCAGAAAUUCUUUACAUGCUUUGUGUGUUAUUAUCUACUUUGUCAAUGACGCUGAAGACAUGAGGAGAACAAGGGUCUCAUCUGACGCAUUAUGCCUUUCCACAUAGACAAUGUAGAAUAUUAUUUAAAACAGAGUCUACAGCAUGAAGAAAAUAGAAGCAACAGAAAACAACAAGCUAAUAUAUAAACUAUUAAGGCAAAAUGGACAAAGAAUAUGAUCAUUUAAAAGUCGAGCUUAUUGAGG
RNAcentral lists this long non-coding RNA (6816 nucleotides) under Homo sapiens (human). RNAcentral's name for it is "non-protein coding lnc-ADAMTS15-5:3". The record is from RNAcentral. Lineage: Eukaryota; Metazoa; Chordata; Mammalia; Primates; Hominidae.